RNAcentral lists this long non-coding RNA (30595 nucleotides) under Coffea arabica (coffee). RNAcentral's name for it is "long non-coding RNA (CARA_LNC003586)". Lineage: Eukaryota; Viridiplantae; Streptophyta; Magnoliopsida; Gentianales; Rubiaceae. The record is from RNAcentral.
UAAGUUUGCCUUAUACGAGUUUUUUAAUAACUUUAGUUACAAUAAUCUCAAAAAAUUCUUCAAAAUUUUUAAACUAUAUAUUUCAAAAUAUCCCAAAAUUUACAUACUUUAAAAUUUUUUCCCUAUAAUUUUUACAGUAAAGUUUUAAACAAACACUCAAAAAACUCAUAUGCCAAACAGGCCUUUGAAGUUGUGAUUAGUUUGUUGAAUGUAAUAGUCGACAUCAUCAUAGAUUGCUUGUGAUUUUAUGCAAAAAAAAAAAAAAAAAAAAAAAAGAUGAACUUAAAAACAGUAACAAAUGUCAAUGUAAAAUAUAUUGUAGACAAUUAUUGGUGUUAAUGGCAUAGAAAUAUGUGUAUGAUUGAAAAGUACUACUGUUUAUCUUGUUCUUUUUUCUCCUUAGCGUGGGGUCUCUUGAAUCCGAGGCGGUGGUCGGAAAGGAGGAGAACUAAAGAAGAUAGGCAAAGAAAAACAUCUGAUUCGUCAAAAACGCUAACUCGGAUCCUCCUCCCUCUCUUAUUAAUUAGGACGAAUCAUGAUGGCUGAUCAUUAAGAGGCUUGGGGUUUUUGUGACUCAUUUACAUGUUAUACUAGUAUGUUACGCAAUUUCAUAAUUUUUCUCAAAUUAACAUAGCGUCCCACUAAGAUAAAUAUUUUAAAAGUUAAAUUCCUAUUCAUUAUUACAUGAAAUACUAGUUAGUUUGUUUGGAUUGCUUCAUAUUUCUCCAAUUUUAUUUGCUUACAUCAUCUUUACAAUUUCCAAUACACCUUUUUAUCUUCCCAAUAUCUUUUUAUCUCACAUACAUCACAUCACAAAAAGUGCUACAGUAAAAAUAUCUCAAAUAAUCCCAAAUAACUUACAAUCCAAACAGAGUUAUUCAUAUGUAACAAGAGUACAGCGUGGAAAGUUAUAGCAGAUGAUAUCUUUGUUUGAAUUGACCUUUAUUUCCUCAAAUAUAUUUGUUUACAUCAUCAUUACAAUUUCCAAUACACCUUUUUAUCUUUUCAAUUACCUUUUCAUCUCAUAUACAUCACAUCACAAAAAAUGCUACAGUAAAAAUAUCUCAAAUAAAGAACGGCUGCGCAAACAUAUGAAAUAAACGUGACAAAGUUGACCAAUGCAUUAGUUCGUUUAUUAUGUCUAAACAAAACAAAUCCGCAAAAGUGAAAUUUUAUGGAGUACGUACUUGUAAUAAUUGAUGACUAUGAUAAAUUGAUUUUACUUUUUACUGCAGGCGGCUACAACUUUCAAAGUUUAUGGAUCGAUCUUCACUCUCGCUUACUAUGAUAUUUAGUGAAGAAUUGCGACAGGUUGGAUUCGGUGGUCGGUGCAAAAGUGCACUAAGAUAAUCAUAUGUAGUAGGAUUGUAUUUUGUACUAUUGUUUGCAUCACACAUGGAUAUGGUAGUUUCUUUACUGAAUUCACGGGGGCAAAAAAAAUGUAUCAUGACGAAUAACAAAGUACUUCAUGAUGUAAAUCUCAUAAAAGGGGUCAAAUAAUAGAGCAAAAGUUUCUUCCAAUACAUGGUUAUGGUUUCUUUCUUUCUUUCUUUCUUUCUUUUUUUACCUUGCCCCUAAUCCUCAAUUGUAUCAGUUCCCAAAAAGUUUGUGUAAAGUAAUUAUUUAAAAACUUAUGCAAACGUAGAUAUUGCCAAAUUUUCAGAUCUAUUUAUUAUACGCUCAAAUGACAAUAAUAUUAGUGAAGCUCAUGAUUUUGCCUUCGAGAGCUAGUAAAGUAGGGUAUUACUAAAUCAUUACAAGUAGCCCAAAAAAAAAAUUAUGUUUCUAGUGUAGGACAAUAAAUUAUGUCUACUUGUUUCUUGAAAUGUUUGAUUGGAACGGACAACCCCUUGUUAACGUCACAAUGGUGAGUUAGACACAAGCAAGUUUGAAGAGGGGAAAAAUUGGAUUGGACGAUGAAAUGAAAGGAAUAAUAAGUAAGAGGUCUGAAUUUAAAACUUUUACUUAUUAAUAAUUAUUAUUUUUUUUUUUUAAAAAAGAGCGCUUCUAUCCUGCGUGCACGGACUCCUUGCUCAAGUCCACACGAGGAAGCCCAGUCAAUUUGACGCAAUGGGCCAGACAUUAGCCUAGUGUUUCCUGAUCUUCUUCGCAUAGUCAAACCCCAUAGUAAUCUCGAUCACAGUCCCAAGUGACGUGGCAACAUUAGCGUUAAUUUCAGUUCAACCCUCAAAAGUAGUAAAAUUAUCAACCGGAUUAAUCACACUUUAUCCCCUUUAAGUAUGAGCUAUUUCUCAAUUUACCCCCCAACGUUUGUUUUUCACAGUUUACCCCCUCCAUCAGUCUAGCUAAGCAAUUGCACCGUUAAAAACUUCAAGAUACCGAAAUUGCUAUUGGAUGAGAGCCAUUUGUUUUGGCUGACUAAAAUGUUCUUCAAUGAGUUAUAAAAAUGGGUGUCUGGUGUUUUUUAGCCUAUUUUUUCUUUUUCAUGCUUCCAUCCAGUUGUAACUUAUUUUUUCUCUUUCAUUUCAAUAAAUCCAAAAGUUCUUAAAAUUUUUCUUUGUCAACCAAAAGUAUCAUAAAAAUGUCACAAAAUGCUUCAAAUAACAUUGAAAGAUCGCCCCAAAAAAUGCGUGAUGUGGUAAAAAGGCACCAUUGUGCACCUCUUGGAUACUUGAAAAUUCGAAAAGAAGAUUUUACUGUUACUCAAAUUACAAUGUAAGAAUUUUUCAUUAAUAAUAUGUUAUUAUUGUCUUUAAUUUUGUUCUAUACAUGAAUAAGUCAAAAAGAGUUUUAGACAGCUAUAUGAAUAAUUUUUUUUUUGUCCCAUGUGCCAAAUGGAGAGAAAUUCCCCUCCUCCACAGUCCACAUCUCAUGGUAAUUUUGGAAACUUUUAUUUAUCUCUUUCAUAAACCUAGAGAUAUGGGUAUUUUGGGUUGUUCAUUAUUUUCUUAAGAGUAUUAUUGUCUUUUCAUUAUUCUGUUUAUCUCCAUUAGAGUUGACCGUUAGUCUUUGAGGUAAACUGUAGAAAACAAACGUUGGGGGUAAAUUGAGAAAUGGCCUAAGGAGAUAAAGUGCAAUUAACCCCUAAAAAAAUAAAAAAACAAAUUUGGUAUCACAGCUAAACAAUAAAAAGUGUUCAAAGUAGGCUCAACGCUAUUAUUUGUUGUAGCUGCAACUUGAUGUAACUUUGGAUAGAGCAUGAGCACCGAAAAAAAAAAAUCUCAUGGGAAUUAACAUCUUACACAAGUCAUUUUAAGAAAUGAAUGUAGAGAAGUUCUUCAUCCAGUGAAUCAUAUUUAAAAUCUAGAAAUUAAAGACUCUGAAUUCUAAUUUUUUUUUUAAAAAAAUCUCAUCCUCAGUUUUCAAAUCCCACAAGUCUCCUGUUAGGAAAAUAAAGUUGUAAUUCACAUUUAAAAGCCAUGAUAGACCGUGGCAAAUGUUUCACCCAUGUAGUCGCAAUCUGUUACACUUUCUAUUAUAUUCAUUAAAAUAGUUAUAUUUCUAAAGAUGAUAUUUGACUUUCAUUCUUUCAAACACUUAAGCUAUUAACUAUAUACAUAAGAGUUCAAGAGCUAAAAUUGUAUAAAGAGGCUAUCUUACGCCUAAAAAAAUCGGUAAAACAACCUUUUCAAAACUUAGUAAAUGAUGAAAAAAGAAAAAAAAAAUAAUGAACACAAUCAACGCCAUGUUUUUUCUUCGGUCUUUGCAAAACUACCUUUUGCCUAAAAUUGUAAGAGUUUAAGAGCUAAAAUUGUAUAGAGAGGCUAGCUUAUGCCUAAAAAAUUCGAUAAAACUACCUUUCCAAAACUUAGUAAAUGAUGAAAAAGAAAAAAAAAGAAUGAAUAUAGUCAACGCCAUGUUUUUUCUUCGGUCUUUGCUUCAUAUAUUGUGCGUGUAUGUAUUAUUUAAAAUGACUAUUGUAACACUUUUAAUUAUAUGAUAAAUGUGAAAUGUAAAAGUAUUUAAAAAUAUAAAAAUGUGAUUGAAAAAUAUAUUUAUGAUAAAAAAAAUUUUAAAUAAUUUAUGCACGCAAAUACACCUAUUAUUUGGGGACAAGCAAGGUCGGUUAGAUCGUAGGUCAAGAGAGUAACUAUAAUGGAGCUAAGGACUGAACUAGAACAUUUCCUGAGGCCAAAUUGAAAUACCAAUCCCUGAAAUGAUACUUGCCCACGCUGUGGUCCUAAAGGCUUGCCACGAAUAUCACAAUGACGCGAGCCAGCGGCACCUUUACCUAGUGCCUUCGUCACAUUUACACAGAGUCACGCAGCCGCAGAGCAGCUGCAGUAAUAUACUAUAUAUAAUAUAAGGGAUUGAUUGAAAUGGGGGCGUUGGCGUUUGAGGUCCGCAACCUCACGCGCGUGUCGUCCUUCGCGACUCUUGCUCAACUUCCCAAGCACUUGUGUUAUUCAUUCCUCACUUUCCCCCCUCUUCACAAGCAGCGCUUUUCGUUCUCAGUCAUGGCUUCCGUUAACAAAAAGGCAAAGAACCAUACUCAAAAUUUCACUGCUGACAAAAAAUUCUACUACUAGAAUUCGUUUUUGAGCUUGAUUUUUGUUUUUUGUUUGUCUGUCUACCAUUUUGGUGAUAGGUUUUGGUGCCGAUUGCGAAUGGGACCGAGCCAGUGGAGGCGGUGGUGCCAAUAGAUGUGUUGAGGAGAGCUGGCGCGGAGGUUACGGUAGCUUCGGUGGAGAAGCAGCUGCAAAUUGAUGCUUGCCGCGGUGUUAAAAUCGUUGCCGAUGCCUUGAUUUCUGACUGCGCCGAUAACGUCUUCGACCUCAUUUCUCUUCCGGUAUCGACAAGUUUUUGGCUUAUGCCGUAUGGACUAAAAUUGUUUUUUUUUUUUUUUUGGUUUAUUGAUUGCUUUUUUUCCCCUGUUUUUUGGUGGCCUUCAGUGUUGGUUUUCUUAUUUAUUUGCCAUUUUUUUUAAAGUUUCCCCCUUGUUGAGAGCGGGGUAUUAGGAAAUUGUAUGAAAAGUGGCGAUCAAAAUGGAAUACCAUAGAGCUUUAUGAGUGAGCUUCUUAAUUUCAAUGACUCCUUUACUCCAGUUGACAUUUUUAUUAGAAAUUUAUACAAAUACAGUUGGUUUUAUUUUUUUUAAAAAUCUGACUUUGAAACUGAUCCUUAAAACAUACCGUUAGAAACAGCUAUUUAUUUUUUGGUGUCUCAUUUGAGUGAUUCAUUACUAUAGUGGCCUCUCGUCGAGAAAAUUGAAUUUGUUUCUGGCAAAUUAAUUUAUUCUUCAUUUAUCUGUUUUUGGUAUAGGGAGGAAUGCCUGGUGCAACAACGCUUAAAGAUAAUAAAACUUUGGAAAGCAUAGUGAAAAAGCAGGCUUCAGAAGGCCGAUUAUAUGCUGCAAUAUGUGCAUCUCCUGCUGUUGCACUUGGCUCAUGGGGCCUAUUGAAGGGGAAGAAGGUGAUGAACGAUAUUCCAUGAAGUUAUAGUGCUAUCUAGUGAUCAACUUCUAACCAGAUAAUGAUUUUUUUGACUAGGCAACUUGUUAUCCAUCAUUCAGGGAGCAGUUAUCUGCCGCUGCUGCGAUUUUUAGCGACUCAAUAGUUGAGCAUGAUGGCAAUGUUGUGACGAGUCAAGGACCUGGAACAGCCAUGGAGUAUGCCGUUGCACUAGUUGAACAAUUAUUUGGGAAGGAAAAAGCUAAAGAAGUUUCUGGGCCAUUGGUACGUUUCUUUGCCUUUUACCUUUCCUCACUGACAUAAGGCGUUUUAAUGUUUAUUAUAGACUCUAGAGGAUCACAAUCGACCAUUUUGUUAUUAUCUGGCUUACUACUUUUCCUGAUGCAUCUAUCUAUUCUGUGCGGCAGUUUUUACAUAAUUAGCUUCUUGCAUAAUUUUUGUAUAAGCAUUUCUCACAAGCUGUUUAUUCCUAGGUUAUGCGCACCAUUCACGGGGCUGAAUUCCUGUUUGCUGAAUUUAAUCGAGUCAAUUGGACAUGUGAUGGCUCCCCUAAGGUAAUUUAUGUCUAGGUUUAGGUUGUUGCUUAAUACUUUUUUGUACUAGUACAUCUCAUCCAAGCCACGAUGUCAUACCCCUGCCUCGACUUGAAUCACUAUGUAGGUUUAGUCUGGUACUUCAAUUUGUUCAACCUCCAGUAAUCUCACAUGCAUGUCCAUGACAAAUUGAGGGGCCUGUGAUGUGAUAAUUCCUUAUCUACCAAGCCAUGCCAGUUAGGUUGCAUUGUUGAUUAUAUACUUUGCCUUUUCUGUCACAGUAUGUCUAGGCUGAUAAUUCAUGUCAACUUGUUCUACUAUCAAAGACCUUAUUCAGGUUAAAUUUUUUGCUGCUUCUAGAGGUAACCAAACUGCUUCUCUUCCUUUCACAUUCCAAAAUUUGACUUUUUGUGUCAAACCUCCUCUUUGUAUUCUUUGUGAACUAAAAAUCAAUGACUGUUUUGAAUAUGCAAUUGACAGCCAUUAACAUUGUUUUGCACAAUCAUGUGUUUACAUCCAGUUUUCCUCUUCUUUUUGCCUUUUAGAUUCUUGUACCUAUUGCUAAUGGCACUGAGGAAAUGGAAGCUCUUAUUAUUAUUGAUGUACUUCGAUGGGUAAAUGCUGAAGUUCUGGUGGCAUCUGUUGAGGAUAAACUAGAAGUUGUGGCUUCUAGAAAAGUGAAACUCGUUGCAGAUGUGCUCCUUGAUGAUGUUGUUAAUGGCUCAUAUGAUGUUAUUGUGUUGCCGGUAUGAGAGCUACAUUUGUUCUAUCAAGCCAACAACACCUGAAAAUGCAGUCUGAUUUUUUUAACAUUUUGUACAUAUUCAGGGAGGACUUGGUGGCGCGCAAGCCUUUGCGAAAUCAGGAAAGUUAAUUAAUUUGCUGAAGAAGCAGCGUGAAUCUAAUAGACCGUAUGGAGCAUUCUGUGCUUCCCCUGCUUUAGUCUUGGAACCACACGGCUUGCUCAAGGUAGCAUUUUGAGAUGCGUCACUGCGUGUUUAGUGUUCAAUUUGGGUAUAUGCAGCUAAGGAGUAUAAAGCUUUUCUCCAAAAUUCAAGCAUAUUGGAAGUCAACAAAUUCAUGAAUUCCUGAAAUUUUGCCUCGAAAUUUGUAGUGCUUCCAUCAGCCUCGUCUCUUCUUUGUGUACCUCGUUUAGUUUGAAGGCUACCAUUCUGAUGUCAAAAUAUUUGGUUUACCCUGCACUGGGUAGUUUCAUGUCCGUUUUUGUCACUAAUACCUACUCAGUUUUAAGUAUGUAUUCUUUUUCACCUUGAUAUGAUGUCUUUUGCUCUCUUCAGGGUAAAAAGGCUACUGCGUUCCCUGCACUGUGCGACAAACUGACUGAUCCAAGCGAGGCAGAGAACAGGGUGGUUGUGGAUGGCCAUCUCAUCACUAGUAGAGCGCCAGGAACCUCACUGGAGUUCGCGUUUGCUAUUACAGAGAAGCUCUUUGGGCGCGAGAAGGCUCUAGAACUUGCAAAGUUCUUGGUUUUUGUUCGUUAGUGGGCUUGGAACCGGACUCCCUCUUACCUUUCUCGUCCCCUUCCCCAAAGAAAUCCGAUGAUGAACUAAUCGACCUUGUGUAUGUAGACGUGUAUGAUAUAGAAUAAAUUUUGGAGCUUGGGUGUUCUGAGAUUUUCAGUUUUCGUAUCUUUUGGCUUUUACGUUGUCUUUGCAAUGGGAUGGCUUAUAUUGGUCAUCAGAGGUCAAAACAUUUGCACUAGUUUUUAAAGUUCCAAGAAUACAACGCGCUUAAGCAGCCAGUCAAACGAGCUGGUUGCAUUUGUCAUUUGGGCCUUUAAUGUCGGAGUAGUCAAGAACCAGAUUCAUUUUCUCAUGGAUGAUGUGUUGGGAGUUGGGACAGUGGUUUCACUGGUUUGGGACUUCUGAGACCGUUAUCCGUUUUGAAGUUGCUCUGCCCUUUCCGAUUGCAGCGAGAAGCUGAGGUGGGCACACGAGUUUUGACGUUUCUUCUUCUUGUCAGUCAAAACACAAAAAGUUGUAGAUGUAGCGAAUUUUACUUCUCCCGAUUUUACUUCUCCCGAUUGGGGGGGGGGUUUGGGUUUGGUUUAUAAGUCCCUGGAAGGACCUCAAGAGUUGCCGGCUUUUGAGGUUUCUUCUGGGAUUAGGUUUAUAAAAGCCGAAUUUCUAGACUUCAGUUUAGAAAAGGUCAAGAUUUGGAAAACAGCAAGAUCACGCGGGAGAUGGACCCUGCAUGCCGUCUCUAAAAUUUCGAUUGAGGGAUAACAUUUUGUUAUUUAAGCAAAUGAAUCUUGGAAAAAAUUAUGAAUUUUCCAAAGAAAAACCUUGUACGUGCCAAAUUUCCCCAUGUACAAAUUAUGAGCUCGAGAAGCUCCCGUUGUUGUUGUUGUUGUGGUUUUGGGUCCUCCGUUGUUUUUACCUACAAAGAAAUUGGCUACCAAACGUGAAAAGAAAAAAAGCAAGAACUUGAUGCAACUGUGCUGUCAAAGAAAACUUGCACUCUUGGACAUGUAAUGUGUGUUGUUUCCGGUACCUUAACUCUGCUAAUCUGCUUGCAAUGAGUUGGAUUCUCUAAUGUUUGGUCAUUAAUUUAUUGUGCAUGCAAAAUAUUGGGAUCUUAUUAAUCUUUAUGACUAAAAGUAGUAGUAUUUUCCAACGUCUAUCAGAAAUUUCUUGAAUUAAAUAUCAAGUGCCUUUUCUUUCGUGCAUAUGUAUAAAAGUUCAAAAAAAAUAUAGUAAUUGAUUCCUUACAACGUGCUUCAAUCAAUCUAGUGGGAAAAUCGCACUUCAUGGGCGUGCAAAUUAAGAAAACAAUUAAAAUAAAAAAUUAAUAGUAAUGAAAAUUAUUAUUAGCAAACUUUUGCUUUUGUGAAAGUAGAAUAAUAAAAUCACACAAAAUUUUAAUAUGAAAUUCCUUCCUCAUGCUUUAUAUAUAAUAUACAAAUCAGCCAUUUUGCAGCAAAGUUUAGAUAAUGAAAAGUUUGAGAGAAGGAUGAGUUGAAUGAUUAAGAAAAAGUAUGAAUGGCAUUUUCUUUGUAAUUUUUUAUAAAAAAUACUGUAACGAUUUGAUAUAUAUAAAAUAAAAAAAUAAUUAAAAAUAUAACGAUUUAAUAUAUGUGAUAAUUUUUUACAAUCCAAACACUUCGCUGACCGGUGUUGUCUGACGACUUUUUGCUAACAUAAAACUACCACGUGUUAUUCAUUCAUGUUGAAGGUCAAUGGUCUAAAAUUCUUGUCCCUUUUACACGUGACAGCUCUCGCCGUAAAUCAUUUGCGAUUACCUUUGUUCGGUUUUUACUACUACAAAUAGGGCUGCAAACGAGCCGAGCCGAGUCGAGCUUUGAGCUAAUCGACCCGAGCCUCGACUAAAUUUUACCAAGCUCGAGCUCGAGCUCGAGCUCGACGAGCCGGCAAAUUUCGAGCUCGAGCUCGACUCGAAUCAAGUCGAGCCGAGCUCGAGCUCGAAAAAAAAUAAAAAAUAAAUAUUUUAUUUAAAAAAUAAAUAAAUAAAAUAAUAUUUUUUUCUUAAUAAAUAAUAAAAUUUUAAGGACAUAUACGUAAUUUUACUAUGAAAAUAAAAAAUAAAAAAUAUAUAUAUAAUAUACGUAAUUUUAUUAUUAAAUAAAAAUAAAAAUAAAAAUAAAUAUAUAUAUACCCAAGCUCGCGAGCCGGCUCGCGAGCUAACGAGCUUAAUAUUCUGAGCUCGAGCUCGAGCUCGAGUUUGACUCGAGCCGGCUCGAGCUCGACUCGAGUUCGAUUAACAUCGAACUCGACUCGAGCUUGACUCGAGCCGCUCGCGAGCGGCUCGAUUCGUUUGCAGCCCUAUUACUACUAUAUAAGCAUUAGAGUACAGAAUUUACACUGCUCAAACUCUUUACCUUGGCCUGCACUUGCCUCUUGUUCGAUCGUUGCAAUGACAAUAAAUUAAGAUUGGCCCAAUUUGUUUUUCGAAUGUAGAAUUGUCAUUGCAAAGAAUCUUCACUAUAUUGAGCUGGUCGUGACAAUUAUUCAGAUGGGCUCCCCCUUUUUAGGGUGGCAAUAGGGGCGGGUGCCCGCGGAGGCUAAUGGGGAAAGGAUUGGGGCUGGGGCUGGGGCGGGGGCGGAGGGCGGGGGAGUGUACUCCCGCCCCGCCACCCGUUUUAAAAAAAUAAAUAUAUAAAAUUUAUAUGUAUAUAAUUAUAUAUAUAAUAUAUAAUUUAAUUAGUUACAAAUUUAUGAUAAUGAUAUUCUUAGUUAUAUGUAUUAUAUAAUGACUAUUAGUAUAUAUAAUAUAAUUGAUAUUAUUAAUUAUACUAAUAAUUAUAUAUGUGUACUAAUAUAAAUUAUUAAUUGGUUAUAUUAAAUUUAUUAAUACAUUUAUACUAAAUCCCUAAUUACACUUAAUACAAUAACAUUUUUUUUUAAAAAAAAAGCACAAGCACAAUAAUGAAUUAGUGAUUGUAUUUGUGCCAAAAGUGAAAACUUGACUAUUUUAAUUAUAUUUAUUUCAUCAUGUUGGAUUGUAUUCAAAUAAUUUUUAUUUGAUUAUUUUUAUAAGUUUCAAUUGUAAAAUUACAAUGAAUAAUAAUUUGAUGAUAUAUUGAUAUUUUACUACUUAAUUAUUUGCUAAAAUUUAAUCAUAAUAAAAUUAUAUAACAAAUUUUUAUUAAUCCGUGAAAACACCACGGGGAAGCGGGGCGGGCGGGACGGGGCGGGGGGAGGGGGAACGGGGGCUGGGGGAGGGGUCCCCCGGCCCACCCCGCCCGUUGCCAUCCCUACCUUUCUCCUCCUUUUUCCAUUUGCUGUCUCCCUCGAAACCAAACAAAACAAAGACAAGAAUUACGCGUAGCUAUUAACCCAUCAGCUCGUGUAUUAAUGAGUUCCUACCAAUCUACAACUGGAGUUGGAAGUUGGAACUGGAGCACAGAACAAAAUCAGUUAACGGCUCUGACCAGGUAAAAACUAAAUGCUGGAAUGAAACUUCAAACUUGACUAUUUCUAAUUUUAUUUUAGUCUGUCUUGCGAAAAUAAAAGCAUCCCAGCCCACUUUUAAGCCAUUACAAUUCUCCUGCACCAGCCCUCUCCUGGUUCACCAAGAUAGUACCGUAAAGGUGAGCUUUCCAUCUCUUUGUUUCUUGAAGAUAUUUUUGGGCCUUCUUUAGCAUGUGCAAUAGCGGAUAGCUUUUCUCUGAACUUCGGCGAUUCUCUCAAUCCUUUUCAUGCUUGAUUAGUCAAGCACCUUUGAUGAAUUGUGAAUUUUUCUGUGAAUCUUGUUAUAGACCAUAUUCUUAUGUUUGUAGCUUGAUAAGUGCAUGUUAUCCUUGGUUUCAGUGAUUCUUAUAGCUAGUUUAAAGGUCAUUUAUAUCCUUAUUGGCAAAUAAUUUAUUAUUAUGAUGUCUUUGCAAAGGUAGCUGAUUGGCCCUGUUGAAUCUGGCUCAAUUGGAUAUGAAUUAUGAACAGGAACCAGUAAUUAUAAUCUAAUGUGUGUUUGCUGAAUCCUGCUUUUCUAAAACCAAUGCGCAAAACAAUAUGGUAAAUGCUUGUGUAGGUGCUAUGAUGCCUUUUGUUCCCUUUUACGGAGAAUUUAUGUAGUUUUCAUUCGUCAUUGGUGCAUAUUAGUUCUUGCGGAUGGCUUUGACUUGGUCCUGAGGUACUGUGCCUCGCAAAUUCCUCUUUUAAAUGAUGAUGCAAACGUUGCCUUUGGCCUGGUAAUACCGAUAGGGUCUUCUCAGGAGAGGUCUUAGGAUUCACUUCUUGAUCAAUUUCAGAAUUAGAACUUAAGCCUUUCUGUUUCCUUUUCUUUUUAUUCCUUCAAUUUGUACCUUCAAAGAGAUCAUUUCUGCUUCACUUAUCUUAUAGUUACACUAUGUGUUAUCGAUAGCAAAAUAGUAAUCUUAAUUUAUAUAAAUCUUUACCUGACCUGUAAUGUCAGAUCAGAACUUGACAAAGUUCUAAACUUUACAAAUUUAUUUGUCACAGUUGUUCUUGACAGGUAGUUUGUUCUGAUUCGAAUUCUUAAUUGGCACACGAGAUGGGUGCAGGGAGUUGUUUUACUUUCUGUUUCAAACAAAAAGCUUCUUCUCCAACUUGGGGAACAAUAGAACUUGAGGAAGGUGGGUUUCUGGAAGAGUCACUUGGUACUUUAACAUCCAAUCUAUUAUCCAGAUACCGAAUUGGAUAAAUUCAUGUUGUCUGAAGCAUGAUAAUGGUCCUUCGUUAAUUCUUGACUUCAAUGAUGAGCUCACAUUUCUUAAUUCUUGAUCACUUUCUUCAAUAAAUGCUUGCAACAGCUCUUGAACAUGUUUUUAUGGCAUAUAUACUAUAUACAAUGAUGCGUUUUUUAUAUGCAUGAAACUGUUCUAAGUAGCUUCAAAAUGUAUACAGAAGGUUUAAAUGUAGACAAUGCUAGGCUCUACAGCUACGGAGAUUUGCGAAUUGCAACUGAAGAUUUCAGUCCUGUAAAUAAAAUUGGGAAAGGAGGGUUUGGUUCAGUGUAUAAGGUAAUACUUUUUGUUUCAUAUCAUCCUUCUUUGGGGAAUUACUUUGCUACUGGUGCUUGAGAUAUGUAGUUGAAUUGUCUACUAAUUGUCAGGGGAGGCUAAAAGAUGGAACACUGGCUGCUAUAAAAGUGCUUUCUGCUGAUUCAACUCAGGGCGUACGAGAGUUCUUGACGGAAAUAGUGACAAUUUCAGGUCUAGAACAUGAAAACCUGGUAAAGUUGCAUGGCUGUUGUGCUGAAGGGGACCACAGGAUAUUGGUCUAUGGCUAUCUUGAAAAUAAUAGCCUUGCUCAGACUCUUCUUGGUAACUCAUCGCCUCUUGUCAUUUCGAAAACUGUAAUUUUUAUUUGAUUUAGGUAGGUUAUAAAUUUCAUUAUAUAUAGGUGGUCACCGCAGCAGCAUUCAAUUUAGCUGGAAAACGAGGACUAAGAUAUGCAUAGGGAUUGCUCGAGGGCUUGCAUUCCUCCAUGAGGAAGUCCAACCCCCUGUUAUACAUAGAGAUAUAAAAGCAAGCAACAUUCUUCUUGAUAAAGACCUUACACCAAAGAUUUCAGAUUUUGGUCUAGCGAAGCUCUUUCCGUCUAGUUUAACCCAUAUUAGCACACGCGUUGCUGGGACUCUGUAAGUUUAUUUUCAGUAUAUAUCUAAACUCCUUCCUCUCAUAUAAUGUACUGCAGAAGAAAAUGGACAAAGAAAGCAAAGAGUUUGCAACAAAUGCAAUUAAUCUAUAUGACUCAAAGUCUAAUGUAUUUUUUACUUAUAAUUUCUACAUUGUUGCAUGUUCUUAGAGGUUAUUUGGCCCCUGAGUAUGCAAUUCGAGGCCAGUUGACACGGAAAGCUGAUAUAUAUAGCUUUGGUGUUCUCCUUUUGGAGAUUGUCAGUGGUAGAUGCAACACAAACAAGCGGUUGCCUGUCGGUGAACAGUUUCUUCUUGAAAAGGUAUGCAAUUCUUCAUUUGCUCAUACUGAGAGGUUUAUUCCUUGGACUAUUAUAAGUAGAAUAUAUUUUUGAAUUACCAUCUGAAGAAGUUCUUGCUACAAGAAACAAAUGAGUAGGAUAUUAACUGAUGUGCUGAGUAGAUGAGUACUAAUUUGUCUACUAUGGAAGAAUGGAUUAAGAUACCUAGCCUCCACCUUUUAGAACCUGAAAUGAUGAGUAUAAACCAAUAUUAGAUAAUGAAGCAGUUCCUACUGAAACUCAAGUUGCCAACCUAUCUGUCCUUCCUUUUCACUUUUUUCCCAUUCUACAAUGUAAACAUAUCUAAGUAAUAUAAUCACACAUUUUAGGUAUAGCUGAUGAUAGCAAAAUGCAUGGUCUUGAUGCUACUAGUGAAUGCCUUUGGAUUCAUCUGUUAUCCAUUAACUAUGCCUUUUAGCCUGAUUCUGGGCCUUUGCUCAUUUUCUGUCAACAAGCAGGUCAUGACAACUGAGGAGAGAUAAGUGAAAGUAGUCACUGAACUAUUUAUCAACAUGGGGAGUAGCUGACAUCUGUAAUCUAUUUGACGGGAUAGUUGUAAAACCGCUCUUUGCAUUAUAUAAUCACCAUACUCUCUCGUUCCACAACCUUUAACCACCAUGUAUUACCAGUUGAAUUCCUUAUCAUCCUUAUAGUUGAAUGUGCAAGUGUCUACCUCACUCAUGAUUUGAAAGUGUUUGUUGUAUCAAGAAGGUCUACAAGUGUAUUAACUUAGUGGUUCGUGUUGGCAUUUUUCUGAUCACUAUGUUUUCUUUUGCCAGAUGGCUCUAUUGGAGAGAUGAAAUGUUGUUUGGCCACAAUUAAUAUAUGAGAUGAUGAUGUUUGAAUGCAGCUUAAUGUUUCAAAUCUCAAGUAGGAGUUCACAAUAAUAACAAUUGGAAACUGACUGUUCAUGUGUGCAGUUCCAUAUUCAUUUUCUUGUCUAGUUAUUUCUGCUGAUAAUUGGCCUUCCCUUUUUCCCUUGUUCUCCUUUCCAUUCCCUGAAUGACUUCUUAUUUGCAGGUGUGGGUUCUUUUUGAGAAAGGAGAGCUAGUUCAAAUGGUUGAUCCUGAUUUGGGAGGGGAUAUUGAUGUUGAUGAGGCUACCAGGUAUCUGAAGAUUAGUCUUUUAUGCACCCAAGAUGUGCCUAAAAACCGGCCAUCCAUGUCUACCGUGGUGAAAAUGUUGACUGGAGAGAUAGAUUGGGAUGAAAAACAGAUAGCAAAACCUGGGAUUAUAGAGGAGCUUAUGAUUCUGAGGCAUAACAGUACCACAACUUAUACAGUCUCUGCUGGCUCUGGAAAGAAGGGAAAUUCAUCAUCUUCUGAGAACACAACCAUGACAUAUCCCUCCAUGAGUUUCUCUUCAAUAUAUGACCGGGACACUUCAAUAGAUGACCGGGACAGUUAGCUGCUAGAAGACUCAAACAGCAGCUUUGUUUAUCCUUCUAGGUUGCAGUUUUGAGCACUGAAUCUCUGUACAUUAUUUAAGGCUUCUUUUUCUUCCCUUAUUUUUUUUCAAUGCUCGGGCAAAUGAGCGAAAUAGACGCAAUGACAGACCACGCAACCAUGACCGUAGCAGAAACUUUGAGAGAAGAAACAUGGGCCAAGGGGGGCCUGGAGGGCCUAGGAACUUUGGUCCCACCAAUACAGGGGACAUACCCCCCAAUAACAUGGGAGGUGGUGCACCCAAUAGGGGUGGCAUGCCACCCAACAACCUCGGUGGCAUGCCAUCCAAUAACAUGGGAGGACAACAAGCACCGGGCUACAUGGGACAGCAACCGUCAAACUACAACAUGGGACAACAGCCACCAUCCUACAACAUGGGACAACAGCCACCAAACUACAACAUGGGACAGCAGCCACCACACUAUGGGGGACAACAGCCACCAAACUAUGGGGGACAACAGCCCCCAUCAAGCUAUAUGGGCGGAAAUCAGCACAACAUGGGAGGUGUGCCAAACAAUGCAGAAAAUUUCCAAUAUGAUAAUGCACCGAAGAGUGGAGGAGCACCUUAUCAACCUGGUCCUGGGCCGAAUCAGAACAAUUAUGCACCAAACGUGGCUGGUGGAAAUCCUUACCAGAACCAGAACAUGCCUGGAAGGGAUAUUCCACCGCCUCAAAACUAUCAAUAAGCAGACUGUGGAUGUAAAUGAAAUUUGUUAUCUUUAGGAUUUUGUCUUGAAAGCCUAAGCUUAUAUGGUAACCAGUGAGAUGAUGUUUAGUUUGGUGAUAUGUUUAUUUUUGGUUGAAUGGAAGUGGUUUAACAGUUGGGAGGAGAGUGGCAAGAAUAUUUUGCUCCUGCUGCCUUGAAUGUGAUGUACAAUUGGUAUAUCAUUGGCAGGCAAGUUACCCAAACCUGUAUUUUUCAUGUCCGUGGGAGCUCAGGUGAAACUUGUUAGCCUAUCAUGCUUGUUUAACCAAUAUUAGUUUCUCAUCAUGAUCUGAAAUUCGAAAUACAGCGCAAAAUGUUACUGAAGCGCUAAGCUAUCUGCAUACUUGUCCAACAUGGCUUACCAGCUGUUCACGAGAGUUCUGUAUAUCAAUGGAGAGGUUACUGGUGGAGAGAGGAUGUUAAACCAGUGACGUGUCCAUGUCUCCUCUAUCUUAGGUUAUAUUAAAAGUUAGUAAAAACAGAGUUAAACAUUGACAAUGGAAAUGAGUUCCCCUUCUUUGUCGAUUUCUUUACCACCUUAAUUCAGUAAUUUAACUGCUCGCAGUUCCUGCUUCUCUGAGAAAUAUGGAGAAAAAUAGGGAGAGCGGCGGGAACAAAUCAAAUGGAGCAAAAAUAGGGAGCGGGUUGGGACAUGGAAAUGAGUCAGCCAGGAAUAUAACGCACUCUAACCCCUAAUUCAGAAUGAGAAUUGUCGGUUACAAAGCAGAAUUCUAAAAGAUUACAGUAAUCUAUUUCAUUUUCAUGUUCACUUAUUGGAGAAUGACAACAUUCAUAUAUUGAGCUAAAGAUCAUAUUUAUAAUGCGUAAAGUGCUCCAUUCUCAUUGACUGAUUAGGAUCUUAGUUUAUUCUACCAACCCUCUGCUUUGGUCUGUAACCAGGAAUUAAUUUCGGAGUUGUCUUGAGUUGCAGAUUCAGCUCUUUUGAUCUUGGCUAGACGGAUUUGAUCCGCUAGAGAGACUUGGUGUUGUUCUGUUCUUGUGAACAAUGCAUCCAACUUUCCUACAUCCACGUUCUUCCAGGUUCGUUGGUGAUGACUGCUGAAAUGACUGCUAGCAGGUUUCAGUUUGUGGAUCUGAAAACAGCCAAAACAACCUCUAUGAACCACUACACUGAUAACACGAUCUAAGAUUUGAAACAAAAAGAAAAAGAGUACAGACAACAGCAUCCAGUUCUGACUGAAAUUUGAUACAACCCAACUAGAGAGUUCAUCAUAGGUAACUCCAAAGCAUGGGUCCUCUUCAAAGGAAACAAAUCAGUACAAAUAAUCUGCUCCUAAAUGCAACAUAUGUACUAAAUUAUGAACCCCUCAUUUAAAUUCUUCUAAACAGCAAAAUGUAUCAGUAACUAAAACAUGAGCACCGUACGAAGGCAUAGAGUGGUGUCCUUUUCAAAACCUAAAGUGCAAACGAAUUGUCAUUUAUUUUUGGCAAAUUCAUGUCUAGAGAACAAAAUUAAAACUAUAUCUAGCUUCAUUCACGUGGGGUUUCAAAGGUUUGUACCUUCGUCAGUUUUGCCUUCAAUUUAGAUUCUUGAUUGGCAGCAAAUUCUUCUCUCUCUUCCUUUGACCUUUUCCUUUUUCUAACUUUUGCCUUCUGCGCUAGUUCCCUUUUCCUUUGAGCAAGUAUUUUCUUUCUUUCAUCUCUUUCCUUUGCUGCUCUUUCUGCUAGUACAUGUGCCAUUUCCUUUUCCUUUGCCAUUUGUGCUGCACGCUCAAGAUGUUGGAGAGCUAUUGCUCUUUUCAUCUUCUCGUAGCUAUCCCAAUCUAGUUCUUGUUGGUCACUACCCCCUGUCUUAGCAACUCUAGCAAUGCUUUCAGCCCAUAACUGCAAAAGUUUUUCCUCUGACCUUUUCCAUUUCAAACGUUGUCCCCACAGCUUCUGCAGUGACCUGCUUAUUCUUGUCUUAGUCUGAUUACUGCAAAACAGAAUAACACUUUAGUUCUAAAUCUCCCAAGCUCAAGAGUCUUAAGUGUCAAUGUUGAACAUGGUAUGUCAAGCAUCCAUGCAAUGGUACAAACAGUUAGAGAGCUCAUGCUGUGUAUGAAAAGGGUGAAUUUUGGGGUCAAAUACAAGGAAAAACAGGGUAAUUGAAAAAUGGAGAAACAAAGUAUUUGUGAUGUGAAUGAUGCAUCUCAAUUCAAAAGGUCUAAGUUAUGAAAUAUCUUGGCAGUGGAUCUUACAUAAAAUUGUAGGCACUAGAACAUGUUAAGCUGAAUAUAAAUCAUGCAAAGUUGCACCAUACAUUCAAUUAGUUCUCUUGGGUGAGUCAACUGCAGCUAUAGGCCAUUCACAAUCUUUCUAUGGCAGGUUCUAGCUCUUAUAUGUAGCCACAUGUUAAAUUAAGAAGAAAGUUUGUCAACCACCGGAUAACAAAAGAAUUACAUCUUUAAUCCAGUCAAAGACAAGAAAGCACAAUACUGGUGCCUAAUGACUAUUCACCUGAAGUAGUGUUCCAGGAUUUUAGCAGCUCCUGACUAUAUUGGACUACAAGUUUGGGAAUAAUGCACAACAAAUUUCAUACUUGUAUAAUCUGCAUUUUAAAUUUAAAGAAGAGAAAAAAAAAGCAAAUAUACUGCAUAAGUAUCAAAAAAGCAAAUUGACUAUUUAGAGAGAGAGAGAAAAUAGAAAGUACCUAAGCGAGCGAGGGCAUUCAGACAUCUUCGCUCUUACCUGAUAAUUUUUACAGAGAAGGAAAAUGUUACAGAAAAUUAUAGCAGUAAAAGAAUGUGGUUUCACGGACCUUUGCUGCUAAUAAUAUACGGGAAGAGUUAGUGCAAAAUGUAACAGUAUGACCAGAGGAGCAGCCAUCUGAUGUCAAACACAUACUUUAUUGGCAGACUGUAAUCAUGAAGUAAUAAAUAUUUUCUAAAUUAGUAGGUUCUUACACGACUUCACCUUGGGAUCUCUCAAGGCUUCUUUUGUCCUUCGGCUGAUUAUCUCCCGUGUCUCUGCAUAUGUAGUAAGAGAAUUUAGAGUGACAAAAGCUUGAAGGAGAAAUAUUUCUAAUGCUGUCAAGGAGUUAAACAUGGUACCUUCACUGUGUUUUCUGCCUUUGUUCCAUGGGACUUUUCCUUUAUUUGCUAGUCCAAUCCUUUUUCUUCUUUGCAUUUCCCUUUCAUUCUCAGAGUUAGAAUUCUUUGCCAGAUUGGAAAGAUUAUCCUGUCGAGUAUCUUCAGUUAAAGGUUGGUCCUUUAAUAAACUAGAACAGUUUUUUUGACAAGAAUCCACAACGUGAAAUGUCUCCGCAAUACUAAUGCUGGCCGGAAAACUUCUACAAUGAUAAGGCACCAAGCACGAACUAACACAGGUAACCAAGGAAGAGACCUUCUUCACACGAGACACACCAACAAUCAACACUGUUGUGCUUGAUCGUGCUCGUAUGUGUUCAACUGCAUAACCAGAAUUUGGUACUAGUAGACUGUUGUCCUUGUGAAUAGGAGUGGAGAGCUUCCUGAGAGCAAUGUUGUGUCACUAAUAAACUAAACAUUCAUCAGGGCACAAAUUUUCUCUAUCUGGCUACGUCAUAACAUAAAUGACAGUACAGAAACCAGUGACGAGAAAAGCUUUAUUAGCAAGUUCAGAUGGGAAACGAAUCUUUUGACAAUUUAAGCUUCAUAUCAACCAAUAUUCAGCGCCACCAAGACCUACUUUUUAUUUUCCCAAGUAAAUGUCCCUAAUUAUCUGAAUAAACACAAAACAGGGAAAAGGUUGUAUUCAACUACUUACAUUCUAUUUAAUACCGUCACCACACAUGCUAAUAUGUUAGCCAUAAUCUUCAAGCAGAAAAGCAAAUUUCCAAACUGGUUUUCCAAUAUUUUCUGCAUUUGUAUAAAUAGGUAUCAGUAAUUGCACUAAAACCAUCCAGACCACUCAAUUUUGCCGGGGAAAAGAGCACAUAAAAUCUACUUGGAGUUCUAUAACUUGAAAUGCACAAUGUGGGAUUAAAUUAGCAAGCAAAUUCUGGAAAGUGGAGGAAACAUGACAGGAGAUCAUGAAAGAUUGCAACUUGGGAAGCUAUGAAUUGAAAUUGCAAAAACCCACAUCAAGAAUUUGACAGAAAAUACAGAGGCAAGUGAUGGGGAGCCUUACCAGGGAGACAAGAGCAUUGCAGUAAAGAAAAUGUACUACGAAUAGUUAUCUUAUUGAAUAGCCCCCAGAAUUCCAAAAGCAAUCGUCAGAUGGAGGAGGGGAGAACUGGCACUGGUUGAGUGAACAGUUUAGAUGCUCGAUGCAAGCAAUGAGGAAAAUCCUACGAUUGUCUUACACGCGCACCACGUAGCGGGUGUUGGAAAUCAUUAUCUAAUUUUUACACGCAAGCAUGAAAAUUGCCCUUGUUUUUGCCCUUUUUUACCUGUGUGUGUGUAACAUUUCAUGCAUUUUGGGUCGCUAGUUGUAGCUUUAACUGCUAAGCAACAUGAACAACCCAUAGGCUGAAAAAUCUUAAUCCAGAAUUUCGUCUUCCAACAAGCCCAGCCCAACCCAAUUCAAUUGGAUUCUUCUCCGCCGCUCCACGUCAUCUUCGAUCCGUAUAAAUGGAAACGCCCGUCUAAUUUCCACUUCAAUUCUCGGUCCUGACUCUGACUAGGAUUAGGGUUUUAACAUCUCCUUUUUUUCACUUUCCCUUCCUAUUACAUCAGCAAUGGAUCCGAUUAAGAAGAGGAAGCUCGAUGAAAACGGCGUUCUAUUACACGAUCCAGACGGCGCCGUCGCCGCAGGAAUGGUACCUUUCAAGCUUUCCGUCGAAGACGCGCGUAAAAUCCUCGAACCCUUUUCCCGCGAACAGCUACUCGAGAUCGUCCAAUCAGCCAUCCUUCGCCACGUGGACGUUCUCGACCUAGUACGAUCCAUCGCCGACCGGGACCCAGCACAGAGGAAGCUCUUCAUCCGCGGCCUUGGUUGGGAAACCACGACGGACAAGCUACGAGCUCUCUUCUCCCAAUACGGUGAUCUCGAAGAAGCUGUUGUAAUUCUCGACAAAGUCACUGGAAAAUCGAAAGGUUAUGGCUUUAUCACUUUCAAGCAUAUUGAUGGGGCAAUGGCAGCUCUUAAGGAACCUAGUAAGAAAAUUGAUGGUCGGAUGACGGUUACUCAGCUAGCGGCUGCUGGUGUGUCUGGUGGGCCGGGUGGCGGAGGGGGGAAUAAUCAGGUGGAUGUUUCGGAUAGGAAGAUUUAUGUGGCAAAUGUACCUUAUGAUAUGCCGGCUGAGAGGCUGUUAGCUCAUUUUUCCAUGUAUGGCGAAAUAGAAGAGGGACCAUUAGGCUUUGAUAAGGCAACGGGGAAAUCGAGAGGGUUUGCUUUAUUUGUGUAUAAAACUGCCAAUGCUGCGAGGGCGUCUUUGGUGGAUUCUGUGAAGAAUAUAGAUGGGCAUCAGUUGAACUGUAAACUUGCUAUUGAUGGGAAGAAGAAGCCAGGUCCUGGAGGGCCUCAGGGUGGUAAUGAAGGGAACAAUGAUGGUAUUGGGGUGGGGAUGCCUGGUGGGAUUGCUGCGCAAUAUGGUGGGCACGGUGGAGUUGGUGGUGUAACUGGAUAUAGUGGAUUUUCCGUGCCUUCGGUGGGUGGGAAUCAAUUGAAUUCGUCAUUAGGUAGUGGUGGUGGCGGCGUUGGUGUUGGUGGUCCAGGGAUGUCCGGUAUUGGCAGCCAAGGGAUGGGGUCUAAUUUAGGUGUUAGUGGUGGACUUGGUCCUUAUGGUGGCGGGACGCAUUAUGGUGGGCCUGGUUCUACUGGAUAUGGUGGGUUGGGUGGAGCUGGUGGAGGAUUGAGUGGUGUUGGGAGUGGAGUUGGUGGUGCUGGUCGUGGUUCUUUUUAUGGAUUGCCACCAAGCUCAGGUGGUAUGCCAACUGGAGAUUAUCAACAGGGGGCACACUAUGGCUUAUCUUCGUCUGGAUAUCAAAGCCAGCAUCAUCAGACAGCAGGAACCUCACCAGCUCCCAGAGUUCCAACUGGGGGAAUCUACCAAGGGGUGCCUCCUUACUAUUGAGGUAGAUUUUCUAAUUUAUUCUAAUAUUGCAUCAUUUUUUGAACAAAUGUGUCACUCCUUUCUACCUACAUUCUGCUGGUUCACCGUUCUCUCGUUGUACUCUCUUUUUGUGGUUUGUUUUAGGGAUUCUUGUCAAUUUUGGUGAUUGUUUAACCAUUCAUCACGUGAUCUGGAGUGAACAUGUUCUAUUGUAUUUUUUUAGUUGGAGUUAUAACUUGUUUGACAGUGAAUUCUUUCAUGGAUUUCUGCAUGAUUUGGGAGGUUGCAUGUUUUUGGUUUUGUUUUGGUGUUCAUUAAUAUGUCUGGUCAGUACCAUGCAUUUUUUGUUUUGUUUCAUUUUUUAUUACACUGUGCCAUUUUCAUACUUGUAUGUGAUGAACUGGUGCUUCAUACAAAGUGCAUCAUGGAUGGUUUAGUGCUUAUCGUUGUGUUUGUUGUUACCUUUCUCCCCCACUCUGUAUUAUUUGAACUUGUUGCUGAAUGAUACAUCGUAGAAGACUUUCCUAUAAUAAUUUCCAGAUUUAAGAAAGUGUUACCUCUGAGUUCUUCCAGCUUUUUAUUUGCAUGCAGAGUUAAUAUCGUACGCCAAUGUGCCUUAAAAGAUUUGAUUUUUUUUGAAUUUUGAGAAACUUGUUACCAUUUGAAUUGGUUGCAUGGUUCAAUUUGUUUCGGAUAAUACUUGGAAGUAAUUGGUGGAGAUAUGUUUUUUUCAUGUAGUGUAAAUGAGUCAGAAUUGAUGAUUGCAAUGUGCGGCAUUAGUAAGAAUAACAGUAUUGCUCUAUCUUUGCGCAACAUAGACCAUAUUUACAGGGGUUGACCUGUUUAUGUGCUUUUGUUCAUCCUGAUCGUUUUUGUUAUGUAAUUUUGGAGUUAGCCUCUGAUUUGGUCCCCAUGCUUGUGGGUUCAUUUAGCGAUUCUCUUGUUAGUCUACGCAGCCAGAAAGUCUUCUUUUGUUGUAGUCUGUUGUAUUUUUCUUUGUGCUGGUUCAUAUGAAGUCAUACAUCCUAUGAGAUGUUUUAUUUAUCUACUAUUCUAAAUUAAUGGGCAAGUUCUUUUUUGGAGGCUUCUGCUUCAUUUUUCUUAUGCACCAUCUACGGAUGAGAAUUAUGCUUUUACAACAUUUGGAUUGUAAACUAACAAAUUUUUUGCCUUAAGCUGAUAGCUGAAAGAAAGGGGUAAUCAACAGUAAAUCUUCAAAUUCUCUUCCUGGUUCUACCUGUGUUUGAUAUGUAUUUUAUGUGCAUCUACUUUGAUCACAUGAACCUAUGCUAUUCAUGUGAAUCUUCAAUAAUGCAUGAUUUACAUAUUUUUAACCUUCGUUCUCUUUGUAACAACAGCAGUAGUUUUUCUCACCGUUAUUGUAGUAUUCUAGAAAUUAUAAUUCCUUUUUUAUUUUUCCUUAUUGCGCUUGGUUGUUGGUUGUCUGAAUUUUGUCACUACUCAUUGUUGUUUUGCUCUGUGACAAGACCCUUUUUUUUGGGUGUAUCAUCUCUAGUGUCGGAGAGAAUUAUGGUGUGUUUGGUUACUUCUAUAUUGUCAUGGUGCUGCUGCUUCUUGGCUUAAAUUCUUGCCUUUUGUUUCUUGAGUUUUUAUGAUGUUUGAGCUUUGUUUUGCAAGGUGUAUGUGGAUUGACAUUUUAAGUUGUGAAUGGAUGUUUGGUUCAGGUGUGUGAGAGCUUGUUGGCGCAGUUGCUUUUUAUGGUUCUGGUGAUUUCGUGCAGACAAUAUGAACUCUGGCUUCAUGAUUUUGAUUUGCUGUGUAGUUUGGCUCUUCGAUACAUCUGCGCUUCAUGAUGUCAUCAAGUGAAAUGCUAGUAAUCUAAGUGACUGAGUAUUUUGUAUUUCUGAUCUAGAGCUUCUAUGCAAUUUGAGUCUGUACGAACUUAUUUAGAUUGCUAUGUGUUUUUAGGGAAAAAGAUAUGAAUUAGACUUUGACUUUAGUUGUUUGUUUUGCUGCGGGUGCAGCUGACUUUUGCUUAUGGCAUUUGACUUUAAUUGGUUCUGAUCUGUCUUUGGAGCAUCUGCCAUAUGUUUAGAUGCUAUGUUAUUUUUUAUGUAUUUGUUUGCCUUUUUUGGUUUCCUUGUGUAGUAUUCUGUCAAUUAGACAUUGCAUUUACAGUUGUCACCUUCCAGGCGUAAUCUAGUAAUCCACCACAAAUACAAAUCCUUGAUAAUUUUCUUUGAAGUGAGUUAGAGUGUGCAUUAGGUGAAUUAGACUAAAAGAGCAUUUUUUGGUUUCUCUCUUUGGGGCAAAAAGAAUGGAGGAAAUGAAAACGGAGGCACGAUAAGGAAAAUUGUCUACAUUAAAUUUUGAAAAUUUCAGUUGGAAGCUAAAUGUUAGGUAAGUGAAUUAUCUUCAUCUAGUGAAAAAACAUACAAUUAUGUGUUGCACUUGGAAAGACAACCAUUUAUGUGUUGCACUGACAUUUGAACUCUGAUUGCUUGACGGUAUCAUUUAUCGUGGACAAAUUGGAUGAAAGUUUUCUUGUUAAUCAGGUAUUUUUUGCACUCUGAUUCUUGUGGAAAAUUCUUGUAGUUCUUGAGUUGUGUCUUCUUGGAGUGGUCAACCAACCCCUGAUUGGCUUGUCCUAGGUCUCAACAUGAGUAAAAAUCAUGCAGUGUUCUAGCAAGCUAGUCAAAUUGAAUUGUUAUCAUUGGACACAAUAUUUUGCUAAUAGUUUUUGUUUUCUAUUUACAAUUUAGGCAUCAGAAGAUAUUUCUGUGAGUAGAUUUUGUGGCUUAGCCUGAGUACCGAUGCAUCUUUUUGAUGCUUAGCACGAGAGGUGGUGUAUCUUAAUGCCUGGCCUUAAGAAUUUGCUUUCUUAAUCGGGCUAUUUAUUCUUCAACUCUGAAGAAUUUUGGAUUUUUAGUAAAUAAACUAUGGUAUAAUUGUUAUGUGUUCCUGUUGACAUGUUUUUAGAAAUUGAAGUGGCGCUUGUAGGUAUUUUGUUUUACUCAAGUUCUGCUCUCUCAUCUGUCUCCUUCAAAUGGAACCUUAAGCUCUUAGUCUUAUGUUCUUUUGGUGAAAUGUGUUGGUUGGUAUACAUUCUCUGUUUUAGAAAAUUUUCUAUUGAAAGUGGAUGAGAUUGAACUGGUAAUCAUUUGGAGAAGUUCUUUAGAUGCCCAAGUUGGAAAGAAGAUGACACAUCAGCAAACCUGUUGGUAAGCCAAUAGUCGUAUGUAGACUUUAUCUAAGACCGAGAACUCAUAUCUCUAAGGCAGAAACUGCUGGAAAAAUGAUCAACAAAAAUCAGAACAGGAAAAGCAAAGAGAAAGCAGAGAAAAUUUGAGAUUGAUAAUAAGAAUGAAUUAGAAAUUUUAGGAGUCACUUCUUUGUACCAUUAGUCAUUUUAUCACACUAACCCUAAAAAGACGUCAAAUCUGCAGGAAUUCAAGAGGGUAAUAAAAUAUUUGCACCCUGCCGUUUGUCUCUAGGUUGACUGGUUUGUGAUUCCAUUUGUGGCCAAAACUCUCCUCCCUAGUUUCCAGUGACAUCAAUAAUGGACAUGUCAGAGGGUUCAUUAUAGUCUUUUCAGUUUGUUAGCGUUGUUGUUCGGUCUAGUGCCUUUUUUGGGUAAACGGGGAAUUCUGCCAUGUUGCUUUAUUUGUUGAUUUACUCUCAUGACAGUGUUCCUAUGACUGAAUCGGUAAUUGUCCGAGUGUGCUACUCCCUUCUUGAUGACUUGAUGAUGCCGUUGUCCUAUAAUAAUAAGCUGUAAAUGUCCUUUGGAAUCACCCUUUGGUCAUAUAACUGACUUGGGGUGGCUAACAAUGGCUAAUGCUAUAUUGGCCCCAUCUGGGUAUGUUUGAAAUUGCUAUCCUAUAAGGUUCAGAAGUCCCUUUCCUCUUUGAGAUUGUGAAACAGUCUUUGCAUAAAUCUGCUGGAGCAAUCAAGGUCGCGGCAACUUGCCAAUCAUCUGGGCGACUUGUUUGCCCGAAGAAAGUAUACCAUCACAUCAUGGGGCGGUUAUAGAGGAAGUCUGGAAUAAGAGUGUCAUUGAAUGUAAUGUACAUUUCGAGAAACUCUUGGGCGGAUGUAAUCUGUUACCAUAUAUGAAAAUGUUCCCAGAUUGGAAUAUCUUCUAGUCGAUUGUAUGGAUGUUGAAUUUUUGUGUAGUCGCGUCAUCUUUUGAUUGAAGAAAUAAAGCAGCAGCAGAAGCAGCAAUGCUGUUAACUGGAUGACUAGAAAGGCUCAUUCCUAGUGAUGCGGGAUAAAAGCUCUCCAGAUGGACAAGAGAGGAAGUGGGGACAAAGAGGGAUGUGUAAAAAUAUCCACGUUCACUGUGGUUUAGGGGUUGAACUUGCUGCUAGCUCAAAUUUCUCAAAAUUUUGUCACUCGUGAUUUUGAUUUGCAAAUUAAUAAAUCUCGGUAGUGUCGUGCAGGUCAUGACAGAAGGUUAAAACAUGCUACGUUACAUAAUAAACAAAAUAUCAAAAAAAUUGUUGGAUUGUCAAAUGGCAAAUGCCGGUUGGUUAUCGGUUUUUUUUUUUUUUUUUUUGUUGGGGGGGGGGGGGGGGCGCGAUGUGGCGGCGGGGUUUCUUGGGCUUGGUGUGGUUUUGUAUACCGGGCAAACAAAGUCGUAUAUUAGUUAAUGUGUUAUGCGGGCUGAAUUUCUAAGAAUAUUAUUGUUAAAAUUUAAAGUUGUUAUAAAAUUGGUGUAGUUUGGGGAGUGUUUCUGAUUUAAGGAUCAUCGCACUUUCGAUACGAGGCUUUCAAUAAAAAUGUUUUUAAUUUUCAUUUAUUUUGAGUUGCUUUAGUUUUCUUUUUUUUUUUAAUUUUUUGCAAAAGCUUCGGGUUUUUUUUUUUUUUUUGGCUUGCUUUAGUUUUCUCAAUUUUCUCUUUUUUGUUUUUUGUUUGUUUGGCAAGCUAAUGAGCGGCUAAGCAUUUACCAUCGGGACCAGUCAUCGUGAUGUGAUCAGGCUGGUCUGCGGCACAUUUUUUUAAAAUUUUUUUUUAUUUUUUCCUGACGCCGCAAAUUUGAUUGGUGGCGUCAGUUAUGGACCGUUGAUCACAAUGUGAUCAAUGGAUGCAGAUUGAGGCCAAAAUAAUUGUCUAAAAUAAUUUUUUAAAAAGUGAAACGGCAUUUUUUUUAAGUAAAAUCGCAAAUCUCAAUUGCGGCGAUAUUUGUCUUAGAUACGGUCAAACUCCGGUGUUCGAUCCUUCUGUUGAUGAUGACAAUGAUGACGACCACACGCUUUGAACAAGUUUAUGCACCACUUCGGAGGUUCGAACGAUUACAAUUAGGAUAAAUUCUAUCACACGAAAGGAUUCAUUGCAAAUGUGGCUGUUCUAUCACUUCGCGCGAUAAGGGCAAGAGGGGCAUUGAUAGGUGAUAUUUAGAUUUUUUGGAUUUUUCUUAUCGAACCUUUUGUUUUAUUAUCAUUUAAGUUCAUAUGCUAAUUAUUACAUCCUAUAAAUAUUGUUCAACGCUGCAUUAUUUAAAUUAACAUUCACAUUAAAAAUUUCAAAAAUAUGACUUAGGCAAAUUUUAUUAGUAUUUUAAUAGCAUACUUGAUUAUCAUCUAAAUUUAUAAAAUUAACAUAGUAUCGCAUAUUAAAUUUUUGACAAUUCUGGUUUAUAAUAGGAUUUUAGUAAUGGGGUUUUUAGUAAUAUGGUUUAAGGAUUUUGAUUUUAAGAUUACGGUUAAAGGGUUUAUGUUUAUAUUAAGGGUUACACUGUGAGGACCUGAAAAUUGAGAUUUCAUGUUAGGUAAAACGUUAAACCUAAACCCUAAUUAAAAAAAAAGGUUACGUUAUAUGAAAAAAAAAGCUUCCUCGCUGGUUAGUUUUAUUAAAAAAAAAAAGAAAAGAAUCUAUCGCCGCUCAGGAGUGGCGAUACAAAAAAAAAAAAUCGCCACUCAUGGAAAACAAAGAAGAAGAAAAACCUUUCAUGAGCGGCGAAGCUUUUGCAAAAAUUUUUUUUUUAAAAAAGAAAACUUAAGCAAUCAAAAAUAAAUGAAAAUUAAAAGCAUUUUUAUUGGAAGCCUCACAUCGAAUUUGCGGCGACCCCUAAUUCGAAACCCACCCUCAAACAGCACCAAUUUUGGGACAAUUUUUAUUUUUGACAAUAUUGCAAGAAAUUCGCGUUAUUCGGUGAUAUAAAAAUAAUACUACAGUUUUUAAAAUAUAAACCCAUAAAUUCUAGAAUACGCUUUUUCCUUUACACACUGAAAUGGGUUUUGGUCUUGGGUUAAGCUGAAACAUACCGAGUUAAUGUAUUGCAUUUUGUAUUUAACAGGUUUCCAGCUCUAUUUCGUGCCAGCGGGGAGAAUGAAGUAUUUUAAAUUAAGGUCGAGUGUCUUUGAUAUCUUAGACUCAGGAGGAUACCGCUCGUUUAUGGGAUAUGAUCAGUACAACUUGACGGGCUAUGGCACUUAAUCAGCAAGCGUUUUAACAGCAGUUCUCGUGAUUUCUGAAUCAGUAGUGUCAGUUCCACCAAAAAUAAAAUGCCCUCGUCUCCUGAGUGAAGAGCACAAACGGCAACCAGAUUGUUCGAAUUUGCAAAAACUUGGAGACCAAGAAUACCCCCCGCCCCAACCCCGGCUCCCUCCAGAACCUGCCAAUUUCACCAUAUACUACUAGUACAUUAGUCAUCCGGCAACCCUCUUCCCAAUUUGGCCAUCUACUCCAUCCAGGGUUUUACUUUUCCACUAUUAGUAAUACAUACACCUCAGGCGGGCUGAACUUAUCCAUUUUUUCACAGAGAUCAACGGUUGAUUUCUGAUUUCUUACUGUCCUUCGGCAAACUGCAGAAAUGAACCAAAUCAAGGUUUCCAAGGAUUUAGACUCUGAAAGAAAGAGAAUAUUCUCUUCAAAGCUCAAGCUCUCCAAUGGCUGCUCUUCCAUCACUCCACCCACUCCUCCUAGAGUCAAUCUUGAGUCAUUUUCCCUGCACCGACUCCAUCAGAUGCAUUCCACCGUUACCGCUAACCCAAAUCCUGAUGAUCUCAAGGAAACCAGAAAACUUGAAGCUUCAUUGAACGUCGAAAACCAAGAAAAACAAAUCCUUCACAACAUUUUGCACUCCUUCACGAAAUCCCGAUUAGUUGAAAUCCUUCAGGAAGCUGCCGUUGCCCACCCCGCCAUUCUCCAUGCCGUUCUUUCCAUCGUUGAUGACAACCCAUCCCACCGCAAGAUCUUUAUCAGAAAUCUUGGCCCUAAAACCACCCCUGAAAAUCUCCACAGCUUCUUCUCAAAUUACGGAGAAGUUGAAGAAGCUAAAGUCAUCUUUGACAGGACCACUGGAUAUAGUAAGGGCUAUGGUUUUGUUACUUUCAAGAAUGCCGAGUCUUUCUUGCUUGCCCUGGAAAACCCCAGCAAGAAAAUUGAUGGAUUCGUCAGUUUUACCAGCAUUUGCGUUGGGCCCGAUCAUUCAUCAGGGAAGACUGAUGAUAGUAGUAUCAGUAGCGAUGAGAUGGAGAAAAUGAGAAUGAAAAGGAAAAUUCGGGUGGAGAAUGUGCCAGCCGAGAUGAGUUCUGAGACUCUGUUGAGUUUUUUUGAGAAGUACGGUGAAAUUGAAGAAGGGCCUUGGGGGUUUGAUAUGGGGACAGGGAAAUCAAGAGGGUUCGCUUAUCUUUUGUAUAAGAAUGCGGAAAGUGCAAAAGCUGCUUUGGCUGAGAGGGUGAAAUUUGUUGAUGGUUUCCGGCUGGUUUGCAAAAUGGUGUUGAGGGAAAGGGAGAGAAGUAAUAGGAACCCAACGGAUAUAGUGGAGCCACUGCCUUCGCCUCCGAGAACUUUGGUUUUGCCUGUUUCCUAUUACUAUUGUGUCUAUUAUUCUCGUCGAUUGGUUCCCUACAAUUAUUACUAUCAGAAUGAGCCUGUUAUGGGCGGCAGUAGCGGCCAAUUGGGGCCUUGGACUGAAGGACAAUCAUCAUCAGCUUUACGUCCUGCUCCUCGGAUUGCUGGUGCUGCUAAUUCUGGAGCUUCUUCGCCUUCUGGAAGAUAGAGUCCGUGCUGCAGAUUUUGAAGGACUAAAAUGUUGAGGCUGGUUUGUUGCAAUCUUGUACAGCAGAAUGAGUUCAGAGCACUAUUUCUAAUCUUUACUUGGUGACAGCGUUCGUUAAAGAUGUGAUUAAGAGAUAGUAGUAGUAUAUUAGUAUUAGCUAUUGACAUUAAGGAGGAAGAGGUACACAACCAGGUUAUUUUGGAUUUUGUAGUAGGUUGAAGUACUGCAUAGCCCUCUUUUUUAUUUUUGUUUAGCAUUGAGGGUAUUGCUUAAGAGAUAGCAUGCACAAAUGAGAGGGAUUUUUUUUUUCUGGCUUAAAAUGCUUGUUCAAUAUUAUUUCAUUAAGUGUGUGUAUAUAUAUAUAUAUAUAUAACUAUAUAUACACACACACAUACACACAUAUAUGUUGGCCUAGUAAAGUUUUACAAAGGGAGAUAUACUGCGUUUAAAUAAUAAUUGGAUCAAUUGCGUAAGGAUCAAGUACAUCUACUUAUGUUGUUCUUGUUCUCGUAUUAUAUGUUGUACAUGCAUCCUCUGGUUUCUCUGCAUUCAGUGUUAGCUUGGACUUGCAACUUAUGCAAAAUCACUAAUUUAGAUGAAUUAUAGAUAUUAUAGCUAGUCAAAUCUAUUGGAUUCUUGAUGGAAAGUUGGCCUUCUUUGGAUUGUGACUUUUUGUAAAAAAAAGUUUUUUCGUUUUCGGUGAACACACAUUUUUACUAGGUCUUCUGUUCUCAUGGAAGGGGAAAAAAUUAAGAAUAACGUGAAGGAAAAAUAAUUAGAAAGACGAAAAAUAAUCUAGAAGACAAAUAAAUAAAAAAGGCAGGGUAGGUCCUUAGCCUCUGCUUGACCCAAAUUAAAGGUAAAAAGAACAUUCCCAAAGGCCAAAAGCAAAUUCAAAAAAAAAAAAAAAAAAAAAAAAGAGUCCAGUCAACCCCUAUAUGGUAUAUACCACGACAAGGUAAUUAAAAGCAAAGGAAAACAGCAAAAGCCUUAUCUAAUAGAGUAUCAAUUUCCAGUUCCAAAUGAUUAACCUAUUGAGGAAUUGAUAAUAACCCUCUGAUAAAUAUAGACAUUAGUAAUUGCUAAAUUGAUUCAAAUCACUCCUGCUCAAUAAUUCAUGGGGGCCACAAUAAAUUUACCAACACCACCACCACCACCACCACCACCCCCAAAAAAAAAA